Carassius carassius (crucian carp) is the source of this 904-nucleotide long non-coding RNA. RefSeq lists it as uncharacterized. NCBI's taxonomy places the organism in Eukaryota, Metazoa, Chordata, Actinopteri, Cypriniformes, Cyprinidae. The record is from RefSeq and is a predicted model, not a curated record. The transcript is spliced from 3 exons.
GUCAAUUGGGAUAGCUGUAGCAUUUGGGAUCUUGGGAUUAUUCGUGCUUAUCUGUUUGGUGCAGAUCUGCAUUAAGAAAAUCAAAUGUUGCAAAAAUCCUUCGGUGAAAGACAAAAUUUUAAAGAAAGUUGGGAUUAAGAAAUCUUCAAGUCCAUUUUCAGUCAGCAGAAUCGUUGACAAGAAGUAACAGCCGUCACUGCUCCUAUGUCAUUCUCCCUGCCUAUAGAUAGUGUACAUAGACCAUGACAGAAUCUAUUUUAGUCCAUUAUUUACAACAUCUGUAACUGUAAUUUUUUCCAUAUUGUUAUGAAAUUAUUUCUGUGUAAAGUGUGAUUCACGUUUCUGAGGUGAAGGUGUUAGUGAUGGGGAUGUUGAUGAUUCAUAUCUAGAAAAAAAAAUCAUUUUCACACAGCUAAGGAAAAACAGCAAACCUUUAUUGCUUUUUGCGAUCGCUUCUCUCGUUGUUUUUCUCAUUUUCUGACAUUCUCUGAAUUUUGUCACCGUACAAGUCUCACCACAAAAAAACGGCGAAGCCUACUUCUCACGCCAGACUGUUUCCACAUAAAAAUGACGUCAAAGGUCACCAUAUACACUGAUGAAAUAUUAGUCUCUUCGGUCGCAGAAAGGUCACAAAAUAUCCAUUGUGAUUUACAAAGAAAUCCUCUUGGGUGAUACACUUCCUGUUAAGGUGAUGGAAUAUGGAACUUGACUUGUAUAUCAAGAUUUCUAAUUUCAAAGAAAAAUAAGGUCAUAUUUGAUCAUUUUUGGCCAGAUUUAUUAGACUAGAAGUAUCCUUUUUGUUAGUGUGUUUUUUUUUUUUUUUAUUCAAGUUUUCACUCAAAUUGUACUAUAUAGCUAUUCAGUUUAUGAAAUGCAAAAUAGAACCAUUUUGGACCCCUGUGAA